RNAcentral lists this ribosomal RNA (493 nucleotides) under uncultured bacterium. RNAcentral describes it as "partial 16S ribosomal RNA". It matches the Rfam family "Bacterial small subunit ribosomal RNA", at positions 29 to 523 of the family's 1533-position model. The record is from RNAcentral.
AUUGAACGCUGGCGGUAUGCCUUACACAUGCAAGCCGAACGGUAGAGGGGCAACCCUUGAGAGUGGCGAACGGGUGAGUAAUACAUCGGAACGUGCCCAGUCGUGGGGGAUAACUAGCGAAAGCUACGCUAGUACCGCAUACGACCUGAGGGUGAAAGCGGGGGAUCGCAAGACCUCGCGCGAUUGGAGCGGCCGAUGGCAGAUUAGGUAGUUGGUGGGGUAAAGGCCUACCAAGCCUGCGAUCUGUAGCUGGUCUGAGAGGACGACCAGCCAAACUGGGACUGGAACACGGCCCAGACUCCUACGGGAGGCAGCAGUGGGGAAUUUUGGACAAUGGGCGAAAGCCUGAUCCAGCCAUACCGCGUGCGGGAAGAAGGCCUUCGGGUUGUAAACCGCUUUUGUCAGGGAAGAAAUCUUCUGGGUUAAUACCUCGGGAGGAUGACGGUACCUGAAGAAUAAGCACCGGCUAACUACGUGCCAGCCGCCGCCGUAA